UACGGAGGAUGCGAGCGUUAUCCGGAUUUAUUGGGUUUAAAGGGUGCGCAGGCGGGCUGCUAAGUCAGCGGUGAAAUGUCCCGGCUCAACCGGGGAGCUGCCGUUGAUACUGGCGGUCUGGAGUGCGGACGGCGCCGGCGGAAUGUGUGGUGUAGCGGUGAAAUGCAUAGAUACCACACAGAACACCGAUCGCGAAGGCAGCUGGCGAGGCCGUCACUGACGCUGAGGCACGAAAGCGUGGGGAUCGAAC
Molecule: ribosomal RNA, 250 nt
Filed under: uncultured prokaryote
Description: partial 16S ribosomal RNA
Rfam family: Bacterial small subunit ribosomal RNA
Source: RNAcentral